CCUACGGGUGGCAGCAGUGAGGAAUAUUGGUCAAUGGACGAGAGUCUGAACCAGCCAAGUAGCGUGAAGGAUGACUGCCCUAUGGGUUGUAAACUUCUUUUAUAUGGGAAUAAAAUGUUCCACGUGUGGGAUUUUGUAUGUACCAUAUGAAUAAGGAUCGGCUAACUCCGUGCCAGCAGCCGCGGUAAUACGGAGGAUCCGAGCGUUAUCCGGAUUUAUUGGGUUUAAGGGGGGCGUAGGUGGAUUGUUAAGUCAGUUGUGAAAGGUGGCGGCUCAACCGUAAAAUUGCAGUUGAAACUGGGAGUCUAGAGUACAGUAGAGGUGAGCGGAAUUCGUGGUGUAGCAGUGAAAUGCUUAGAUAUCACGAAGAACUCCGAUGGCGAAGGCAGCUCACUGGACUGCAACUGACACUGAGGCACGAAAGUGUGGGUAGCAAACAGGAUUAGAUACCCUAGUAGUC
This 460-nucleotide ribosomal RNA is filed under the name uncultured bacterium. RNAcentral describes it as "partial 16S ribosomal RNA". It matches the Rfam family "Bacterial small subunit ribosomal RNA", at positions 338 to 795 of the family's 1533-position model. The record is from RNAcentral.